This 131-nucleotide small nucleolar RNA is filed under the name Neogobius melanostomus (round goby). The record is from RNAcentral. Lineage: Eukaryota; Metazoa; Chordata; Actinopteri; Gobiiformes; Gobiidae.
CCGCACUGUUCGUAACCUGGUUCAGUUUCAGUGUGAACUCUGGUUCCAUUCCAGUGCCAUAGUGAGCCCCAGUGAGGCAGGGGAGCAGUGUAUCGAUGUGCUCGCUCCCUGUUCACUCUCUGGGAACAAGC